This is a long non-coding RNA of Dreissena polymorpha, 2085 nucleotides long. RefSeq lists it as uncharacterized. Lineage: Eukaryota; Metazoa; Mollusca; Bivalvia; Myida; Dreissenidae. The transcript has 2 exons. The record is from RefSeq and is a predicted model, not a curated record.
GAUAACUCAAGAACGCUUACGCCUAGGAUCAUGAAACUUCAUAGGUACAUUGAUCAUGACUCGAAGAUGACCCCUAUUGAUUUUGAGGUCACUAGGUCAAAGGUCAAGGUCACGGUGACCCGAAAUAGUAAAAUGGUUUUUGAAUGAUAACUCAAGAACGCAUACGCCUAGGAUCAUGAAACUUCAUGGGUAGAUUGAUCAUGGCUUGCAGAUGACCCCUAUUGAUUUUGAGGUCACUAGGUCAAAGGUCAAGGUCACGGUGACCCGAAAAAGUAAAAUGGUUUCCGGAUGAUAACUCAAAAACGCAUACGCCUAGGAUCAUGAAACUUCAUGGGUAGAUUGAUCAUGACUCGCAGAUGACCCCUAUUGAUUUUGAUGUCACUAGGUCAAAGGUCAAGGUCACGGUGACCCGAAAUAGUAAAAUGGUUUUCGGAUGAUAACUCAAGAACGCAUACGCCUAGGAUCAUGAAACUUCAUGGUUAGAUUGAUCAUGACUUGCAGAUGACCCCUAUUGAUUUUGAGGUCACAAGGUCAAAGGUCAAGGUCACGGUGACAAAAAUCGUAUUCACACAAUGGCUGCCACUACAACGGACAGCCCAUAUUUUUUUGCAGUUUUUCAUUUAUCAGUGGAAUAAUAGAAAAUUGACAAAUUUUAUGGAAAGAUGCAAAAAAGCGGUUAGAAAUUCUACUUAAAUUUAGAAUGCAAUACCCACACCUUUUAUGUCCCCCAGUCUAUACUGGGGGACAUAUUGUUUUUGCCCUGUCUGUUGGUUUGUUUGUGUCAAACUUUAACAUUGGCCAUAACUUUUUCAAUAUUGAAGAUAGCAACUUGAUAUUUGGCAUGCAUGUGUAUCUCAUGGAGCUGCACAUUUUGAGUGGUGAAAGGUCAAGGUCAUCCUUCAAGGUCAAAGGUCAUAUAUGGGGGACAUAGUGUUUCACAAACACAUCUUCUUAGAACUACAUUAGUAGGUACAGUUAAAACCUUUGGAAUGUUGUUUUGCUUGUAAGAAUUGCAUCUACAGUUUGUGCUAUCAUUUGCAGUUGAACAACUGUUGUUGUUUUUAUUUUUUCCAUGUUUUUUAGGCCAUAGAAAGAAAUGAUAGUCAUUUAACACACAUGUCAAGUGUUCAAUUGUGUGCAAUGAACGUCAAGAUUACAUAUGCAAUGAACGUCAAGUGUACAUAUGCAAUGAAUGUCAAGUGUACAUAUGCAAUUAACGUCAAGUGUACAUAUGCAAUUAAUGUCAAGUGUACAUAUGCAAUUAACGUAAAGUGUACAUAUGCAAGUAACGUCAAGUGUACAUAUGCAAUUAACGUCAAGUGUACAUAUGCAAUUAACUUCAAGUGUACAUAUGCAAUUAACGUUAAGUGUACAUAUGCAAUAAACGUAUUUAUUUUUGUUUAGUUCUUUUCUGUGUGCAUUAUUGUUCAACAUAUUAUAUUGCAUACAUGCAUGUUAUAUACAGAGUAGCUCAUGCACAUACUGUUUGUAUAUAAAAAUAUGCAGUUGUAAAACAUAAAUUCAUCUAUAAUACAAACAGUUUUAUAUUUCUAAAAAAUGUACUGAAUUGCACAGACAUACUAUAUAAAGUUGUUUAUGUAAGCAUGAAUGUCUUCUAUCUAUAUACUUUAGCAUAUGAGAUCUAAAAUACUUGUGCUGAAGUGCAGUGUGUAAUAUACACUGAUAAUGCAGACUUAACAAAAUACAGUAGUUCUGUGGUACACAAUAUGUGUAUUAUGUAUAAUGAAAAUAUGUUAACAAAGGACCAGUCUCUCAAUUCUGCAUCUGUUUUUAUUGUAGGUAUAUACAUUCAAACGUUUGCUAAAUACUUUUUAAAUAAUGUCCUUGCUGUGAAUUUUACAAAAUUGAUGCUCACAUGGUAUGUUAAGCCUACGUUAUUGACAUGUUGUUAAAUAUGUUCAGUUAUGUGAUUUUUUCAUAUUUUUGUGACGACAUGAUGUACCAAUGUAUGCCAUCAAAAUAUUGUUGUGUCGUGUUGUGUCGAUAGUUGAUCAUUUAACUGUAUUUUUAUUGAUGAAUUUUAAAAUGUUGGUUAUGAUUGUGUUUAAUAAAUAUUUAAAUGAA